GACGAACGCUGGCGGCGUGCUUAACACAUGCAAGUCGAACGGAAAGGCCCUGCUUUGUUGGGGUGCUCGAGUGGCGAACGGGUGAGUAACACGUGAGUAACCUGCCCUUGACUUUGGGAUAACUUCAGGAAACUGGGGCUAAUACCGGAUAGGAGCUCCCGCUGCAUGGUGGGGGUGGGAAAGUUUCGGCGGUUGGGGAUGGACUCGCGGCUUAUCAGCUUGUUGGUGGGGUAGUGGCUUACCAAGGCUUUGACGGGUAGCCGGCCUGAGAGGGUGACCGGCCACAUUGGGACUGAGAUACGGCCCAGACUCCUACGGGAGGCAGCAGUGGGGAAUAUUGCACAAUGGGCGGAAGCCUGAUGCAGCAACGCCGCGUGCGGGAUGACGGCCUUCGGGUUGUAUACCGCUUUCGCCUGUGACGAAGCGUGAGUGACGGUAAUGGGUAAAGAAGCACCGGCUAACUACGUG
This 468-nucleotide ribosomal RNA is filed under the name uncultured bacterium. RNAcentral describes it as "partial 16S ribosomal RNA". It matches the Rfam family "Bacterial small subunit ribosomal RNA", at positions 28 to 507 of the family's 1533-position model. The record is from RNAcentral.